UACGAGGGGGCAAGCGUUGUUCGGAAUUAUUGGGCGUAAAGGGUGCGUAGGCGGCUUGGUAAGUCCGCUGUGAAAGUCCAGGGCUCAACCCUGGAAUGCCGGUGGAAACUGUCAAGCUUGAGUCCGGAAGAGGCGAGUGGAAUUCCUGGUGUAGCGGUGAAAUGCGCAGAUAUCAGGAGGAACACCAAUGGCGAAGGCAGCUCGCUGGGACGGUACUGACGCUGGAGACGCGAAAGCGUGGGGAGCAAACAGG
RNAcentral lists this ribosomal RNA (253 nucleotides) under uncultured bacterium. Its description in RNAcentral is "partial 16S ribosomal RNA". It matches the Rfam family "Bacterial small subunit ribosomal RNA", at positions 524 to 776 of the family's 1533-position model. The record is from RNAcentral.